This 254-nucleotide ribosomal RNA is filed under the name uncultured bacterium. Its description in RNAcentral is "partial 16S ribosomal RNA". It matches the Rfam family "Bacterial small subunit ribosomal RNA", at positions 524 to 776 of the family's 1533-position model. The record is from RNAcentral.
UACGUAGGGUGCAAGCGUUAAUCGGAAUUACUGGGCGUAAAGCGUGCGCAGGCGGUUCUAUAAGACAGAUGUGAAAUCCCCGGGCUCAACCUGGGAACUGCAUUUGUGACUGUAGAGCUGGAGUACGGCAGAGGGGGAUGGGAAUUCCGCGUGUAGCAGUGAAAUGCGUAGAUAUGCGGAGGAACACCGAUGGCGAAGGCAAUCCCCUGGGCCUGUACUGACGCUCAUGCACGAAAGCGUGGGGAGCAAACAGG